Molecule: ribosomal RNA, 253 nt
Filed under: uncultured bacterium
Lineage: Bacteria
Description: partial 16S ribosomal RNA
Rfam family: Bacterial small subunit ribosomal RNA
Source: RNAcentral
UACGUAGGGUGCGAGCGUUAAUCGGAAUUACUGGGCGUAAAGCGUGCGCAGGCGGUUUUGUAAGACAGACGUGAAAUCCCCGGGCUUAACCUGGGAACUGCGUUUGUGACUGCAAGGCUAGAGUAUGGCAGAGGGGGGUAGAAUUCCACGUGUAGCAGUGAAAUGCGUAGAGAUGUGGAGGAAUACCGAUGGCGAAGGCAGCCCCCUGGGUCAAUACUGACGCUCAUGCACGAAAGCGUGGGGAGCAAACAGG